CCUACGGGAGGCAGCAGUGAGGAAUAUUGGUCAAUGGACGAGAGUCUGAACCAGCCAAGUAGCGUGAAGGAUGACUGCCCUAUGGGUUGUAAACUUCUUUUAUAUGGGAAUAAAAUGUUCCACGUGUGGGAUUUUGUAUGUACCAUAUGAAUAAGGAUCGGCUAACUCCGUGCCAGCAGCCGCGGUAAUACGGAGGAUCCGAGCGUUAUCCGGAUUUAUUGGGUUUAAAGGGAGCGUAGGUGGAUUGUUAAGUCAGUUGUGAAAGUUUGCGGCUCAACCGUAAAAUUGCAGUUGAAACUGGCAGUCUUGAGUACAGUAGAGGUGGGCCGAAUUCGUGGUGUAGCGGUGAAAUGCUUAGAUAUCACGAAGAACUCCGAUUGCGAAGGCAGUUCACUGGACUGCAACUGACACUGAGGCUCGAAAGUGUGGGUAUCAAACAGGAUUAGAUACCCGAGUAGUC
Molecule: ribosomal RNA, 460 nt
Filed under: uncultured bacterium
Lineage: Bacteria
Description: partial 16S ribosomal RNA
Rfam family: Bacterial small subunit ribosomal RNA
Source: RNAcentral